CCCACCGGAACCAGGACGACGAGGUGGCCAACUGCAUCCUUAAUUUGGUGGCUGCGCAUCGAGCAUGAGGUCUCCGCCAAGACCCUCAUCGGCUCCUGCCACUCACUAUUCUCCUCCGAGGACCUCACCUACCAGUUUGCCGCUGCUGCUGAAAAAGAGCUAUCACCUAUCAAAAAUGAAGGAAGAUAGCAGUAUACCUUCAGCCACAUGAGACCACAAAUUCGCUCCUCCCCGGCCGAUCUGGGUGUUGCUAUCACCUCUCGACUAUAAAUAUGCUGCCGGUGAUCGAGCUUCAGAUUUUUUCCUUAUGGCAGUGUAGAGAACAAGUCAAGACCUCAAGUACCCAUGUAGGAUUCUCCUUUUAGGCUUUAUGUGAUGCUCCCUAUGUCCCAUAACAUAUGAUGGUUGUAAUAACAUCUUACAUUACGGGACAGCGGGAGAACUGUUUUACUUCCUGUAUACUUCCGAAUUGUCUUGUAACAUCCUUUUUGUCAUCAGAACUUGUAAUAUUAAUUGUUCC
Molecule: long non-coding RNA, 520 nt
Organism: Lolium rigidum
Lineage: Eukaryota; Viridiplantae; Streptophyta; Magnoliopsida; Poales; Poaceae
Exons: 4
Source: RefSeq, a predicted model, not a curated record